CUACGGGUCGCUGCAGUGAGGAAUAUUGCACAAUGGGGGGAACCCUGAUGCAGCAACGCCGCGUGGAGGGUGACGCAUUUCGGUGUGUAAACUCCUUUUAUAUGUCAAGAAAAUGACGGUAGCAUAUGAAUAAGCACCGGCUAACUCCGUGCCAGCAGCCGCGGUAAUACGGAGGGUGCAAGCGUUACUCGGAAUCACUGGGCGUAAAGGACGCGUAGGCGGGUUGGAAAGUCAGGUGUGAAAUCCUACAGCUUAACUGUAGAACUACACUUGAAACUUCUAAUCUAGAGUAUGGGAGGGGGAGAUGGAAUUAGUGGUGUAGGGGUAAAAUCCGUAGAUAUCACUAGGAAUACCUAAAGCGAAGGCGAUCUCCUGGAACAUUACUGACGCUAAGGCGUGAAAGCGUGGGGAGCAAACAGGAUUAGAUACCCCGGUAGUC
RNAcentral lists this ribosomal RNA (439 nucleotides) under uncultured bacterium. RNAcentral describes it as "partial 16S ribosomal RNA". It matches the Rfam family "Bacterial small subunit ribosomal RNA", at positions 339 to 795 of the family's 1533-position model. The record is from RNAcentral.